UGCAGUCGAACGAACCUUUUAGGUGAGUGGCGCACGGGUGCGUAACACGUGGGAAUAUACACAUCGGUAAGGAACAACACAGAGAAAUUUGUGCUAAUACCUUAUAAUGACUCCGGUCCAAAGAUUUAUCGCCGAUGGAUUAGCCCGCGCUAGAUUAGUUUGUUGGUGAGGUAAAAGCUCACCAAGACUACGAUCUAUAGCUGGUCUUAGAGGAUGAUCAGCCACACUGGUACUGAGACACGGACCAGACUCCUACGGGAGGCAGCAGUGAGGAAUAUUGCGCAAUGGGGGAAACCCUGACGCAGCCAUGCCGCGUGAAUGACGAAGGCCCUAGGGUUGUAAAAUUCUUUCAGAUGCGAAGAUAAUGACGGUAACAUCAGAAGAAGCUCCGGCUAAAUUCGUGCCAGCAGCCGCGGUAAUACGAAUGGAGCGAGCGUUGUUCGGAAUCAUUGGGCGUAAAGCGUAUGUAGGCGGACAUGAAAGUCAGAAGUGAAAUCCCAGGACUUAACCCUGGAACUGCUUUUGAAACUCCAUGUCUUGAAUCCCGGAGGGGUGAGGGGAAUUCCGAGUGUAGAGGUGAAAUUCGCAGAUAUUCGGAGGAACACCAGAGGCGUAGGCGCCUCACUGGACGGGUAUUGACGCUGAGAUACGAAAGCGUGGGGAGCAAACAGGAUUAGAUACCCUGGUAGUCCACGCCGUANACGAUGUGUGCUAGUUGUCGGGCUCUAAGAGUUCGGUGACGCCGCUAACGCAUUAAGCACACCGCCUGGGGAGUACGGCCGCAAGGUUAAAACUCAAAGGAAUUGACGGGGACCCGCACAAGCGGUGGAGCAUGUUCUUUAAUU
Molecule: ribosomal RNA, 845 nt
Filed under: uncultured marine bacterium
Lineage: Bacteria
Description: bacterial SSU rRNA
Rfam family: Bacterial small subunit ribosomal RNA
Source: RNAcentral